AAGGGAUAAACGCUGAAAGCAUCUAAGUGUGAAGCCCACCUCAAGAUGAGAUUUCCCAUUUCUUUAAGAAAGUAAGAUCCCUGAGAGAUGAUCAGGUAGAUAGGUCAGGAGUGGAAGUACAGUGAUGUAUGGAGCGGACUGAUACUAAUCGAUCGAGGACUUAACCAA
RNAcentral lists this ribosomal RNA (168 nucleotides) under Enterococcus faecium. RNAcentral's name for it is "partial 23S ribosomal RNA". It matches the Rfam family "Bacterial large subunit ribosomal RNA", at positions 2759 to 2925 of the family's 2925-position model. Lineage: Bacteria; Bacillati; Bacillota; Bacilli; Lactobacillales; Enterococcaceae. The record is from RNAcentral.